GUAACCUGCCUUAUAGUGGGGGAUAGCCUUUCGAAAGGAAGAUUAAUACCGCAUAAGAUUGUAGUAUCGCAUGAUAUAGCAAUUAAAGGAGCAAUCCGCUAUAAGAUGGGCCCGCGUCGCAUUAGCUAGUUGGUGAGGUGAUGGCUCACCAAGGCGACGAUGCGUAGCCGACCUGAGAGGGUGAUCGGCCACAUUGGGACUGAGACACGGCCCAGACUCCUACGGGAGGCAGCAUG
RNAcentral lists this ribosomal RNA (236 nucleotides) under uncultured bacterium. Its description in RNAcentral is "partial 16S ribosomal RNA". It matches the Rfam family "Bacterial small subunit ribosomal RNA", at positions 121 to 353 of the family's 1533-position model. The record is from RNAcentral.